UCCCUUAGUAACGGCGAGCGAAGUGGGAACAAGCCCAGGUCUGAAAUCUCCCAGCUGGCAAUUGACACGGUUGGGCGAAUUGUGGUCUGGAGAGGCAGACUGUCCCGAUCCACUGCUGCUGAGCCCGAAGUUGACUUGGAACGGCACGCCAAAGAGGGUGAGAGCCCCGUAGGGCCUAGAAAUCGGUAGCAGCGGGACGAGGGUCUGUACUCGUAGAGUCGGGUUGUUUGGGAAUGCAGCCCCAAGUGGGUGGUAGACUCCAUCCAAGGCUAAAUACGGGCGCGAGACCGAUAGCUGACAAGUACCGUGAGGGAAAGGUGAAAAGCACUUUGAAGAGAGAGUUCAAUAGACCGUGAAACCGUUGGGAGGGAAGCUCAGGGUGUCGAGGUUGUCGUGCACUGUUCGAGUUCAGCUGGUGGUGGCAGUUUUCUGUUGCUGCUGGUGCACUCUCUUAUGGUGUUUGACCGUCAGUUGGGAAGAGGCGGAGGUCUGUGGUGUCAGUAGUCGGGAGGUACGCCCCGUGUCUCCGUAAGGUGCUCGGGGUGACGUACAGCCGUUCUGCUGUGGUCUCUGUCGUCUUUCAGGUGCGUUUGGAUGUCUGUUCGUCCAGAAAUGGAAGGUGCAGUCUCCCGAAGUGGGGGAUCGGGCCAUUCGCUCGGUUGUUCUGCGUUGUUCAGUCGUGUUCCGUUCUCUCUCCGUUCAGUCUCUGGCUGUCGGGGCUGAGUGCGGCACUUCAGGCAAUCGUCAGUAUCCCGUGUGUUUGUGUCCUGGAAUCUGUGCCAAAGGUGACUGG
This 793-nucleotide ribosomal RNA is filed under the name Chalinidae sp. 2 JV-2020. RNAcentral's name for it is "partial large subunit ribosomal RNA". It matches the Rfam family "Eukaryotic large subunit ribosomal RNA", at positions 76 to 637 of the family's 3401-position model. The record is from RNAcentral. Lineage: Eukaryota; Metazoa; Porifera; Demospongiae; Haplosclerida; Chalinidae.